Molecule: ribosomal RNA, 414 nt
Filed under: uncultured bacterium
Lineage: Bacteria
Description: bacterial SSU rRNA
Rfam family: Bacterial small subunit ribosomal RNA
Source: RNAcentral
UGAGUAACACGUAUGCAACCGAACCCAUAACAGGGGGAUAACCCGGAGAAAUCCGGACUAAUACCGCAUAAGACCACGAUAUCGCAUGAUAUAGAGGUCAAAUAUUUAUAGGUUAUGGACGGGCAUGCGUCUGAUUAGCUGGUUGGCGGGUAACGCCCACCAAGGCAUCGAUCAGUAGGGGUUCUGAGAGGAAGGUCCCCCACAUUGGAACUGAGACACGGUCCAAACUCCUACGGGAGGCAGCAGUGAGGAAUAUUGGUCAAUGGGCGAAAGCCUGAACCAGCCAUGUCGCGUGAAAAGGAUGAAGGUCCUAUGGAUUGUAAACUUCUUUUGCAGGAGGGUAAAGUGAGCUACGUGUAGUUCAUUGCAAGUACCCUGCGAAUAAGCAUCGGCUAACUCCGUGCCAGCCGCCGC